This 440-nucleotide ribosomal RNA is filed under the name uncultured bacterium. Its description in RNAcentral is "partial 16S ribosomal RNA". It matches the Rfam family "Bacterial small subunit ribosomal RNA", at positions 338 to 795 of the family's 1533-position model. The record is from RNAcentral.
CCUACGGGAGGCAGCAGUGGGGACUAUUGGACAAUGGGGGAAACCCUUAUCCAGCGACGCCGCGUGAGGGAAGAAGGUUUUCUGAUUGUAAACCUCUGUCAGUGGGGACGAUAAUUACGGUACCCACGGAGGAAGCCACGGCUAACUACGUGCCAGCCGCCGCGGUAAUACGUAGGUGGCAAGCGUUGUCCGGAAUUACUGGGUGUAAAGGGAGCGUCGGCGGGAUGUCAAGUCAGAGGUGAAAAUUAUGGGCUCAACUCAUAGACUGCUUUUGAAACUGAUAUUCUUGAGUGAAGUAGAGGCAAGCGGAAGUCCUAGUGUAGCGGUGAAAUGCGUAGAUAGUAGGAGGAACAUCAGUGGCGAAGGCGACUAGCUGGAACAUAACUGACGCUGAGGAGCGAAAGCGUGGGUAGCAAACAGGAUUAGAUACCCUAGUAGUC